AGUCGAGGGGCAGCAUUUUAGUUUGCUUGCAAACUAAAGAUGGCGACCGGCGCACGGGCUGAGCUAACACGCUAUCCAACCUGCCGAUAACUCGGGGAUAGCCUUUCGAAAGAAAGAUUAAUAUCCGAUAGUAUAUUAAAACCGCNUGGUUUUACUAUUAAAGAAUUUCGGUUAUCGAUGGGGAUGCGUUCCAUUAGCUUUGUUGGCGGGGUAACGGCCCACCAAGACUACGAUGGAUAGGGGUUCUGAGAGGAAGGUCCCCCACAUUGGAACUGAGACACGGUCCAAACUNAUACGGGAGGCAGCAGUGAGGAAUAUUUGUCAAUGGACGAGAGUUUGAACCAGCCCAGUAGCGUGAAGGAUGACUGCCCUAUGGGUUGUAAACUUCUUUUAUAUGGGAAUAAAGUAUUCCACGUGUGGGAUUUUGUAUGUACCAUAUGAAUAAGGAUCGGGCUAAUUCCGUGCCCAGCAGCCGCGGUAAUACGGAGGAUCCCGAGCGUUAUCCGGAUUUAUUGGGUUUAAAGGGAGCGUAGGUGGAUUGUUAAGUCAGUUGUGAAAAGUUUGCGGCUCAACCGUAAAAUUGCAGUUGAAACUGGCAGUCUUGAGUACAGUAGAGGUGGGCGGAAUUCGUGGUGUAGCGGUGAAAUGCUUAGAUAUCACGAAGAACUCCGAUUGCGAAGGCAGCUCACUAGACUGCAACUGACACUGAUGCUCGAAAGUGUGGGUAUCAAACAGGAUUAGAUACCCUGGUAGUCCACACAGUAAACGAUGAAUACUCGCUGUUUGCGAUAUACAGUAAGCGGCCAAGCGAAAGCAUUAAGUAUUCCACCUGGGGAGUACGCCGGCAACGGUGAAACUCAAAGGAAUUGACGGGGGCCCGCACAAGCGGAAGGAACAUGUGGUUUAAUUUCGAUGAUACGCGAGGAACCUUACCCGGGCUUAAAUUGCAUUUGAAUAAUCUGGAAACAGGUUAGCCGCAAGGCAAANUGUGAAGGUGCUGCAUGGUUGUCGUCAGCUCGUGCCGUGAGGUGUCGGCUUAAGUGCCAUAACGAGCGCAACCCUUAUCUUUAGUUACUAACAGGUCAUGCUGAGGACUCUAGAGAGACUGCCGUCGUAAGAUGUGAGGAAGGUGGGGAUGACGUCAAAUCAGCACGGCCCUUACGUCCGGGGCUACACACGUGUUACAAUGGGGGGUACAGAAGGCAGCUACCUGGCGACAGGAUGCUAAUCCCAAAAACCUCUCUCAGUUCGGAUCGAAGUCUGCAACCCGACUUCGUGAAGCUGGAUUCGCUAGUAAUCGCGCAUCAGCCAUGGCGCGGUGAAUACGUUCCCGGGCCUUGUACACACCGCCCGUCAAGCCAUGAAAGCCGGGGGUACCUGAAGUACGUAACCGCAAGGAGCUCCUAGG
Molecule: ribosomal RNA, 1408 nt
Filed under: bacterium NLAE-zl-G194
Lineage: Bacteria
Description: 16S ribosomal RNA
Rfam family: Bacterial small subunit ribosomal RNA
Source: RNAcentral